This is a long non-coding RNA of Xyrauchen texanus (razorback sucker), 4144 nucleotides long. RefSeq lists it as uncharacterized. The transcript has 4 exons. The record is from RefSeq and is a predicted model, not a curated record. Lineage: Eukaryota; Metazoa; Chordata; Actinopteri; Cypriniformes; Catostomidae.
UACUGGUCAGUAACCCUGAGCCUCAACCACUGAGCCACCACUGCCCCACAAUGUAAUAACAAUUGAUCCUAAAUGCAAUAAAGCCCCUUAAUGUAAUAACAUUUGGUCCUAAAUGUAAAAAGGUCAUAAAUGUAAUAACAUUUGAUCCUAAAUACAAUAAAGCCCCUUAAUGUAAUAACAUUUGGUCCUAAAUGUAAUAAAGCCUGUUAAUGUAAAAACAUUUGGUCCUAAAUGCAAUAAAGCCCCUUAAUGUAAAAACAUUUGGUCCUAAAUGUAAUAAAGCCUGUUAAUGUAAAAACAUUUGGUCCUAAAUGUAAUAAAGCCUGUUAAUGUAAAAACAUUUGGUCCUAAAUGCAAUAAAGCCCCUUAAUGUAAAAACAUUUGGUCCUAAAUGUAAAAAGGUCAUAAAUGUAAUAACAUUUGGUUUUAAAUGUAAUAAAGCCCCUUAAUAUAAAACAUUUGGUCCUAAAUGUAAAAAAGACCCUUAAUGUAAUAACAUUUGGUCCUAAAUGUAAUAAAGCUGUUAAUGUAAAAACAUUUGGUCCUAAAUGUAAAAAGGUCAUAAAUGUAAUAACAUUUGGUUUUAAAUGUAAUAAAGCCCCUUAAUAUAAAACAUUUGGUCCUAAAUGCAAUAAAGCCCCUUAAUGUAAUAACAUUUGGUCCUAAAUGUAAAAAGGUCAUAAAUGUAAUAAAAUUUGAUCCUAAAUACAAUAAAGCCCCUUAAUGUAAUAACAUUUGGUCCUAAAUGUAAUAAAGCCUGUUAAUGUAAAAACAUUUGGUCCUAAAUGCAAUAAAGCCCCUUAAUGUAAAAACAUUUGGUCCUAAAUGUAAUAAAGCCUGUUAAUGUAAAAACAUUUGGUCCUAAAUGUAAUAAAGCCUGUUAAUGUAAAAACAUUUGGUCCUAAAUGCAAUAAAGCCCCUUAAUGUAAAAACAUUUGGUCCUAAAUGUAAAAAGGUCAUAAAUGUAAUAACAUUUGGUUUUAAAUGUAAUAAAGCCCCUUAAUAUAAAACAUUUGGUCCUAAAUGUAAAAAAGACCCUUAAUGUAAUAACAUUUGGUCCUAAAUGCAAUAAAGCCCCUUAAUGUAAUAACAUUUGGUCCUAAAUGUAAUAAAGCCUGUUAAUGUAAAAACAUUUGGUCCUAAAUGUAAAAAGGUCAUAAAUGUAAUAACAUUUGGUUUUAAAUGUAAUAAAGCCCCUUAAUAUAAAACAUUUGGUCCUAAAUGUAAAAAAGACCCUUAAUGUAAUAACAUUUGGUCCUAAAUGCAAUAAAGCCCCUUAAUGUAAUAACAUUUGGUCCUAAAUGUAAUAAAGCCUGUUAAUGUAAAAACAUUUGGUCCUAAAUGUAAAAAGGUCAUAAAUGUAAUAACAUUUGGUUUUAAAUGUAAUAAAGCCCCUUAAUAUAAAACAUUUGGUCCUAAAUGCAAUAAAGCCCCUUAAUGUAAUAACAUUUGGUCCUAAAUGUAAAAAGGUCAUAAAUGUAAUAAAAUUUGAUCCUAAAUACAAUAAAGCCCCUUAAUGUAAUAACAUUUGAUCAUAAAUACAAUAAAGCCUACUAAUGUAACAUUUGGUUUUAAAUGUAAUAAAGCCCCUUAAUAUAAAACAUUUGGUCCUAAAUAUAAAAAAGCCCCUUAAUGUAAUAACCUUUGGUCCUAAAUACAAUAAGGUCAUAAAUGUAAUAACAUUUGAUCCUAAAUACAAUAAAGCCCCUUAAUGUAAUAACAUUUGGUCCUAAAUGUAGUAAAGCCUACUAAUGUAAUAACAUUUAUAUUUAUGCAUUUGGCAGACGCUUUUAUCCAAAGCGACUUACAGUGCACUUAUUACAGGGACAAUCCCCUGGAGCAACCUGGAGUUAAGUGCCUUGCUCAAGGGCCCAACAGUGGCAUCUUUGUGGUGCUGGGGCUUGAACCCCCGACCUACUGGUCAGUAACCCUGAGCCUCAACCACUGAGCCACCACUGCCCCACAAUGUAAUAACAAUUGAUCCUAAAUGCAAUAAAGCCCCUUAAUGUAAUAACAUUUGGUCCUAAAUGUAAAAAGGUCAUAAAUGUAAUAACAUUUGAUCCUAAAUACAAUAAAGCCCCUUAAUGUAAUAACAUUUGGUCCUAAAUGUAAUAAAGCCUGUUAAUGUAAAAACAUUUGGUCCUAAAUGCAAUAAAGCCCCUUAAUGUAAAAACAUUUGGUCCUAAAUGUAAUAAAGCCUGUUAAUGUAAAAACAUUUGGUCCUAAAUGUAAUAAAGCCUGUUAAUGUAAAAACAUUUGGUCCUAAAUGCAAUAAAGCCCCUUAAUGUAAAAACAUUUGGUCCUAAAUGUAAAAAGGUCAUAAAUGUAAUAACAUUUGGUUUUAAAUGUAAUAAAGCCCCUUAAUAUAAAACAUUUGGUCCUAAAUGUAAAAAAGACCCUUAAUGUAAUAACAUUUGGUCCUAAAUGUAAUAAAGCUGUUAAUGUAAAAACAUUUGGUCCUAAAUGUAAAAAGGUCAUAAAUGUAAUAACAUUUGGUUUUAAAUGUAAUAAAGCCCCUUAAUAUAAAACAUUUGGUCCUAAAUGCAAUAAAGCCCCUUAAUGUAAUAACAUUUGGUCCUAAAUGUAAAAAGGUCAUAAAUGUAAUAAAAUUUGAUCCUAAAUACAAUAAAGCCCCUAAUGUAAUAACAUUUACAUUUAUGCAUUUGGCAGACGCUUUUAUCCAAAUGGACUUACAGUGCACUUAUUACAGGGACAAUCCCCCCGGAGCAACCUGGAGUUAAGUGCCUUGCUCAAGGGCCCAACAGUGGCAUCUUUGUGGUGCUGGGGCUUGAACCCCCGACCUACUGGUCAGUAACCCUGAGCCUCAACCACUGAGCCACCACUGCCCCACAUUUGAUCCUAAAUGCAAUAAAGCCCCUUAAUGUAAUUGGUCCUAAAUGUAAUAAAGCCCCUUAAUGUAAUAACAAUUGAUCCUAAAUGCAAUAAAGCCCCUUAAUGUAAUUGGUCCUAAAUGUAAUAAAGCCCCUAAAUGCAAUAAAGCCCUUAAUGUAAAACAUUCGGUCCUAAAUGCAAUAAAGCCCCUUAAUGUAAAACCAUUUGGUUUUAAAUGUAAUGAAGCCCAUUAAUGUAAUAACAUUUUAUCCUAAAUGCAAUAAAGCCCCUUAAUGUAAAAACAUUUGGUCCUAAAUGUAAUAAAGCCCCUUAAUGUAAAACAUAUGGUCCUAAAUAUAAAAAGGUCAUAAAUGUAAUAACUUUUGCUCCUAAAUGUGAUGAUCAUAAAUGAAAGGUCAUACAUUUAAUAACUUUUGCUCCUAAAUGUGAUGGUCAUAAAUGUAAUAAAGGUCAUAAAUGUACAACCAAAAAUGUUUAGCGCAUUUAAUAUAUUUAGAACCAACCAUUAUUUCAUUAAGUGUGUUUAUUACAUCUACGGUCAAAAAUGUAAUAACAUUUGGAGCUAAAUGUAAUGAAGAUCUUAAAUGUGAUUAAAUUUGGUUCAGAUUGUAAUAAAGGUCCUAAUUGUAAUAACUUUUGUUCCUAAAUGUGAUGAAUUUCAUAAAUGUAAUGAAAUUUAGGACCUAUAAUACAUUUUGGUUCUAAAUGUAAUAAAUGCCCUAAAUGCCCUAAAUGUUAUACCAUGUAGUUCUAAAUGUAAUGAAGUUCAUAUAUGUAAUAACAUUACAUUAAUCCUAAAUUAUAUUUAGGACCAAAAGUAUUUGCAUUUAGGACCAAAUUGUAUUACAUUUAGAGCCUUUAUUACAUUUAGGACCAUUUAAUCUGGCGUAAAAGCUGUGUCAAGUAAAAUAUGCAGAUCACGGUGGGUCCGCUGUGGUGACCUGUAAUGGGAGCUGCCAAAAGAAGAUUACAUUUAGGACCAUUUAUCAAAUUUUCCUCCUCAACAAAGAUCUGCAGAUUUCUGCAGAAGCGGACUGCCUGUCAUUCAUAAAAUCUGACACAUCCCCUGCAGAUUGUUAAUGUGAUUAUGCUUUCAGCUACCAUUAAGAGUGUACAGUAGUACUCUUACUUUGCACAGUAAGUAGUAGGCUAGUAUUCCAUUAUAAGCAUAUAUAAGCAUUGUCUGUGAUUCAUUGUAAGAGGUUGAUGGUAAAAUCUUUGGAAUAAAUAGUCUUUCAAGAUACUUUGAAUUUAUUUAAAUUGUGAAAGUGUCAUAACUCAUUACGUGCUG